RNAcentral lists this non-coding RNA (45 nucleotides) under Schistosoma margrebowiei. Lineage: Eukaryota; Metazoa; Platyhelminthes; Trematoda; Strigeidida; Schistosomatidae. The record is from RNAcentral.
AUCCAGCUGACGAGUCUUAAAUAGAAUGGAACUCGUGUCUUGGAU